CAUCUCCUUUAGCCAACCCCCCCCCCAACCCCUGGAGUUAAAUGCUUUGAAUGCAUGGCUUCAUUCAUAACAAGAAUGUUGCAAGCAAUACAAAGAUUGCAAUUUUCCAGGUAGGAAGACUGAGGCCGAGAGAGAUACAGAAUGGAAUGGACCGGGUAAAGAUGGGAAAAGAGAGGCACAAGAAGACUGGGUAACAUGCUAUGUCUGCUUGCACAGAAGAGAAGCUGGGCUUCGAUGCCUGCUUGCCUCACACCAGAGCAUGGACUGGACUGUGACUCCGCAUCAUCUCUGCGUUGGAUGGAAGAGAAGUUGCUCAUUCUCCUCGAGAGACUGGGUUUCAACACGGCAGGCAGAGAACAUGGAGAAUCACAGAACAAAGUGAGGCAUGCAGUGAUGAAUGCCAGGCUCAUCCAGCAUUGCAGACAGACCUGACAGCUCCAUCCAUACAGCAAGCCAAAUUCAAAAUCACUCAUGAAGCAGCCUUCCAAUGCAGCCAGGCAACGGGGCAGAACAGACUGCAGACCUGUCCCCAGUUCUGGCUAAGUUACUUGUAAACACUGCAUUGAGUGUAAUUAUAUGGGUCUCCAUCAGGGGAA
Molecule: long non-coding RNA, 596 nt
Organism: Mus musculus (house mouse)
Lineage: Eukaryota; Metazoa; Chordata; Mammalia; Rodentia; Muridae
Product: predicted gene, 40954
Exons: 2
Source: RefSeq, a predicted model, not a curated record